This 256-nucleotide unclassified non-coding RNA is filed under the name Hevea brasiliensis (rubber tree). The record is from RNAcentral. Lineage: Eukaryota; Viridiplantae; Streptophyta; Magnoliopsida; Malpighiales; Euphorbiaceae.
CUCGUAUGGCAUGAUGACCAGCUAACCCCAUAUCCUAAUGAAUCCCUCGUAAUGCUUAUAUAUAUCGUUGUCCUUUUGCUCUGCAAACCCAAGCUUUUACUAGUGGAAUUUGGUGUGAUUAUUCCUUACCAAAAUCACCCAGAAUGGCCAAAAUUGCCUUAGGAUCUCAGCGAGAGGCCACCCAGCCCGACUGCAUCAAGGCCCUUAUCGUCGAGUUUAUUACCACCUUUUUCUUCGUCUUCGUCGGAGUCGGAGC